GAGAAGGAAGAUGUGCUUCUUGUUUCAGUAUGGUUGAAUACAAGUAAGGAUCCAGUGCUCGGUAUAAAUCAAACAUGUUCUGUAUUUUGGAGGAGAAUUUAUGACUACUUCCAUGAGAACAAGCAAUUUACAUCAGUUCGUAGCCUAAGUUCAAUUGCUCAUUGUUGGAGAACUAUUCAAGAAAAUGUGAACAAGUUUUGUGGGUGUGUUAGUCAAAUUGAGGGAAGAAGACAAAGUGGGUGUACCAUUGAGGACAAGGAGAAAUAGAAACCACAGAGAAUGAAGUGAUUAAGAGACCAAUGGGGGGAAAAAGGGCAAAGGAGCAACUGAGGAGAGGAGGGGGGGGUGAAGGAUGCUUAGAGGCUAUUGAACAUUUGUGGGAGAAAAAAGUGUUAGAUGUGGAAAAAGAGCAAAAGAAGGAAGAGAGGUAUAACCAGUCUUACAAACUAGACAUAGAUAGGCUUGAACUAGAGUAAAAAAGGGUUGCAAAUGAACUAGUUAGGGCUCAAGUUGAACAGGCGAGGGUUGCAAAGGAGGCUGAUGAAGUACAAUUGAAGAGAAUGUUAGAAGAAGAGAGGAUAAUGACAGUAGAUUUUACUUCAAUGCCUCUACUUCAACAACAGUACUACAAGAGCCUUCAAAAUGAGAUAAUUGCUCGUCGCACGAAAAACUCCGAUUGACCUUGGAUGCUUUAUAAAAAUAUCAAUGAGAGGAGUCGACAGAGCAUAUCAUUGUUUGGUGUUAGUAGUAUUUAUUUUGUGAGAUCCUUUGCAGCAACACUUCUGAAAUUAUUGUAGACUCAGUGCAAGUGGCCAGAGUACAUACCUUGAAAUGAAAUGCUGAAGGGCAAUUCUUCCACUUCCAAUGCAUGCAAUCUAUAGAACCUAACAUUCUAGGGAACCCUCUUUUCUUCGCAAGUGCAAGUAACCGAGCCAUAUCGUUUGUAUUAGGUGAUCUUAAGUACUCAUGUUCAAAAACUGCAACAACUGAUUUAACAAACCUUCUCAAACU
Oryza brachyantha (malo sina) is the source of this 1011-nucleotide long non-coding RNA. RefSeq lists it as uncharacterized. The transcript is spliced from 3 exons. NCBI's taxonomy places the organism in Eukaryota, Viridiplantae, Streptophyta, Magnoliopsida, Poales, Poaceae. The record is from RefSeq and is a predicted model, not a curated record.